RNAcentral lists this unclassified non-coding RNA (229 nucleotides) under uncultured Laccaria. RNAcentral's name for it is "sequence contains ITS1". The record is from RNAcentral. Lineage: Eukaryota; Fungi; Basidiomycota; Agaricomycetes; Agaricales; Tricholomataceae.
UUGAAUAAACCUGAUGUGGCUGUUAGCUGGCUUUUUCGAAGCAUGUGCUCGUCCGUCAUCUUUAUAUCUCCACCUGUGCACAUUUUGUAGUCUUGGAUACCCUCUCGAGGCAACUCGGAUUUUAGGAUUGCAUCAGCUUUCCUUUCAUUUCCAAGACUAUGUUUUUAUAUACACCAAAGUAUGUUUAAAGAAUGUCAUCAAUGGGAACUUUGUUUCCUAUAAAAUUAUA